CCUCUGCAAAAAUGUGAUAAGAUAAAAAAAAAAGAAUGAUGAUGUUGGGAUAUUAACCGAGAAAAAUGCGUAGCCAUAACUUGUGUAGGGAGUUAGUGUAUAAAAGAAAGUAUCCACUUCCAUUAUCAACGCAUACCCAAAAUCUCUUUCACCUCCAAAUUUUAUUUUCAAGCAAAUAGACGGAAAACUUUCCAACCUUCCAAUACCGAGUUUUCAAGUUUUCGUUAAGAAGGAGAAUUUCAAGUUGGAGUACUCAUCAUAGAAAUCUCUUAUCAUUCUUUUGAGGUCCAUCGCAAGGAAUUUAACUCUAAGUGAGUUAAUAUUGUUUUACGGAGUUCGGAAGCAUACCAGGUUGAGCUGUGAUGCAGUGGAGGGUGCUAAUUAAACCAGACCUACUUAUAUUUCCAUUCAAUACUCUCGGAGGUUCGUGUCUUCACACAUGGAACCGCGUUCAGUUCCUUCCGCUGUGCAUUGAAGCAAGUGAAAUCAUUUAUGUCCCUAAAGACUCUGAUAACUAGCCAGUAUAUUGUAUGGUCCCCGACUCGAGUCAUUGUGAUCGAGUCAUUCUAUUCAUGUAUUCACCGUUAAUACUCUACAGACAGAAAGUUCAACCAUUAAAUCUUUCUUUUCGUACUCAACCCACAUUCUUAAUAUCCACCCCAGUCACGGUAUAACGAACCUUGCUAUAAUUAGCAAAGUUAGGUCGUGACAGCCAGGGAUUCUAUGUAACGCCGGCGACCACUACCAAAAGGCAGAAAGCGCUGCCAAGUUUGCGGUGGAGGAGUACAACAACAAGGCUGGUGAACAAGGUUUUCUCAAGUUCAUCACAAUAGCAAAUCUCAACGUGGAGCCCACCGCCAGAGCGCUCUACUACAUCACCGUCGCGGCAGAGGACGCUGCCGGUGAGAUUUGUCUCUAUCAAAUGCAGAUUUGGGAGAAACUCAACACAGGAUACCUAGUGCAGAUAUUCCGCCCUGCCCCAUACUGCCUCAAAUCAUCAGAGAAGCUAGCACACAAAAAUUGCUGCCUUGUGAUUAAUAACUUGGUGCCUUGGAUGGAUGAAAAUUAUUUGUAGUACAAGUGUUUCAAAGGUGCACAUCAGAUUUUAGGAAUUGAGAUAUGUCGCGGUGCCAAUGAGGGGGUCGAGCAGUGCCCCCGCCCCGGGCCCCCAAAACGUUGGGGCCUCCAAAAUCCAAAUACAUACAUGAGUAUAUACAUGCUACUGGGCCAGGUCCAAGCAAGAAACAAGAGCCCACAGCAGAGAGCCGCAAAGGCAGGCAGCGCUAAAGCCUAAAUACAAGCUAACAAGCAAAUACUAUUAGUUUAUAGUAUUAUUAUGGGGCCCCUCUUUUAGUUCCGCCCCGGGCCAAUAAAAACUUAGGACCGGGCCUGAAACCAUGCGUACAUAUGGAUGAGAAAUUCUGCAAAGGUGGAACAGAUUGCUCACAAGUAUGGAGGGAGAAAGAUGCCGAGCUCUAAUGUUUUGUAUACUUUUAAUUUAAGCAAUUAAUUAAAAAGUAUUAGAUUUUGAUUUUAUUUAACGGAGUUAGUUUCUAUACACUUUGCAUAACAUUUAUCUAAUAUUUAAUAAAUCUCUCGUUGUUUAUAUUU
Molecule: long non-coding RNA, 1611 nt
Organism: Salvia splendens (bonfire salvia)
Lineage: Eukaryota; Viridiplantae; Streptophyta; Magnoliopsida; Lamiales; Lamiaceae
Exons: 6
Source: RefSeq, a predicted model, not a curated record